CCCCUUCUGAAAAGCACUUGCUGGGUCUGUGCUCAGUGGCUCAGGGAGUUGUCGUGGAAGGGUAUAGCAAAGGCAUCGCUUUUGGGUGAAGUGGCAGCAGCAUGUGUUGUUAACUUCAAUCAGUGGUGCAACAGUC
Molecule: small nucleolar RNA, 136 nt
Filed under: Crocodylus porosus (Australian saltwater crocodile)
Lineage: Eukaryota; Metazoa; Chordata; Crocodylia; Crocodylidae
Source: RNAcentral